This 913-nucleotide ribosomal RNA is filed under the name Mastodia sp. RNAcentral describes it as "partial large subunit ribosomal RNA". It matches the Rfam family "Eukaryotic large subunit ribosomal RNA", at positions 34 to 955 of the family's 3401-position model. The record is from RNAcentral. Lineage: Eukaryota; Fungi; Ascomycota; Eurotiomycetes; Verrucariales; Verrucariaceae.
CUAAGCAUAUCAAUAAGCGGAGGAAAAGAAACCAACAGGGAUUGCCUCAGUAACGGCGAGUGAAGCGGCAUGAGCUCAAAUUUGAAAUCUGGCCUCCCUGGGAGGCCCGAGUUGUAAUUUGGAGAGGACGCUUCGGGUCAGGGAUCGGUCUAAUUCACUUGGAACAGUGGGUCAGAGAGGGUGAGAAUCCCGUCCAGGACCGCCUCCCGGCACCCAUGUGAAGCUCCUUCGACGAGUCGAGUUGUUUGGGAAUGCAGCUCUAAACGGGUGGUAAAUUUCAUCUAAAGCUAAAUACCGGCCAGAGACCGAUAGCGCACAAGUAGAGUGAUCGAAAGAUGAAAAGCACUUUGGAAAGAGAGUUAAACAGCAUGUGAAAUUGUUGAAAGGGAAGCGUUUGCGACCAGACGUGCGGGCGACGGUUCCCCCGGCUCCUCCGUGACCGGGUCAUUCCUGUCGCUCCCAGGCCAACAUCGGUCCGGGUGACCGGUUAAAGACCCCGGGAAUGUAUCUACCUUCGGGUCGACUUAGAGCCCGGGGUCCAAUACGGCCCCCCCGGACCGAGGUACGCGCUUCGGCUCGGAUGUUGGUGUAAUGGUCGUAAACGGCCCGUCUUGAAACACGGACCAAGGAGUCUAACAUCUAUGCGAGUGUUUGGGUGUUAAACCCCGGCGCGGAAUGAAAGUGAACGGAGGUAAGAGCCCUCCUGGAGGGUGCAUUAUCGACCGAUCCUGAUGUCUUCGGAUGGAUUUGAGUAAGAGCAUAGCUGUUGGGACCCGAAAGAUGAUGAACUAUGCCUGGAUAGGGUGAAGCCAGAGGAAACUCUGGUGGAGGCUCGCAGCGGUUCUGACGUGCAAAUCGAUCGUCAAAUUUGGGCAUAGGGGCGAAAGACUAAUCGAAUCAUCUGGUAGCUGGU